Molecule: long non-coding RNA, 438 nt
Filed under: Fragaria vesca (wild strawberry)
Lineage: Eukaryota; Viridiplantae; Streptophyta; Magnoliopsida; Rosales; Rosaceae
Description: long non-coding RNA (FVES_LNC000587)
Source: RNAcentral
UGAUUCUGUAAAAAGUGGAGGAACUUAUGAAAGUCAUGAAACUGGUGGUUUAUUAGUAAGAGGAACAUAAUUCAAUCUUCAGGUACAGUGAAUAAGCUUAUUUUGCAACCUGGUGGUGAAAAGUACUUCCUUCUUUUAACACUGUUUUGUCUCACAACCUGCUUGAUUUUUGUAUGCAGAAACAGAUCGAGAAGAAGCUGAAUUUUUGCAAGCUGGCAACAUAAAAUCAUCAUUGUAAUUCAGAUAAACAUUGAUUAGUGUUAGAUUGCUCCAUUUCACACGUAUCAAGCAAGUAGUAUCACUCAGGUACUGUCUCCUUCCCAAUUGAGCAGCACCAUUAUUCAUUGUUCAUUCAACUUUUGUUCACCUUUAUAAUAACAAACAGGAGAAAGAAGUAGCAUCAUCAUCUUUACCAAUGAACAACUAGUUGGAGAAAAU